GCCCCUGUGGCGGAAUCGGUAGACGCGCUCGACUCAAAAUCGAGUUUCUUCGCGAAGUGCCAGUUCGAGUCUGGCCAGGGGCACCA
Molecule: transfer RNA, 86 nt
Filed under: Croceibacterium atlanticum
Lineage: Bacteria; Pseudomonadati; Pseudomonadota; Alphaproteobacteria; Sphingomonadales; Erythrobacteraceae
Description: Altererythrobacter atlanticus tRNA-Leu
Rfam family: tRNA
About the family: Transfer RNA (tRNA) molecules are approximately 80 nucleotides in length.
Source: RNAcentral